Molecule: long non-coding RNA, 1051 nt
Organism: Ictalurus punctatus (channel catfish)
Lineage: Eukaryota; Metazoa; Chordata; Actinopteri; Siluriformes; Ictaluridae
Source: Ensembl
CUGCAUUCCAUGAGAAUAAUGGAAAAUGACCCCCCCCCCUCCCCCAAUGACUUGCUAUAAAUCUCAAAGAUCAUUACUCUAAAGUAUUUUUCUUUGCCAGCAAUUCAAUCAAUCCAAAAAUCCAUUAUCCAUUUAUAGUUACAUUUAAUGUUGUGGAACAUCCACAAAACAAAUUAGUUCCUCCAUCACUUACAUUCUUUUUCAUGAAGUUAAUAAAUAAAUAAAUAAAAAACAUUAGAAACUCUGACACUGUAGACUCCUUCCGUAAACGUUAAAUAAACAACUCCCUACAAGAACCUCACCAUAUCAACGAUUUUGUUUUCCCUUUUUUUUUUUUUUUUUUUUUUAAAUAAAAAGAGCGUAUUAAUAGUUACCUUGCAGCUACUGUUAUAGAAAAUUAAUCAAUACCAUCUGAAUAUACUUAAAAUUAAUACUAGGUUGUAUGGAUACUAUAACUGGUCAUCUUUUUUUUCUCUUUUUUAAAUCAUUAACAUUUUAUUUUAAAUAUUUAGAAGAACAUGUCAUUGCAGACACAUUUUAUUGACUGCCUUUUUACCACAAAACCAAUUUUCUUUACUUAAGUGUAUGAUUUUCCCGUACUUUUCCACCCCAGGGCUUCAUUCGUAUGAAAUCCAGUAAAUUGCUCUGGCUCGCUUGAGUUCCUGUGACUCCUGCGAUUGAUCGGAAUGCUAACCCAUCUGUCUCCUCAGCCAUUCCUUGCUAUCUUCUCGACCUACAUCCAAAAUUCAUACAAGGGCAUAGCAAAUGGCAAGCAACAAAUGGUUUUAAAAAAAAAAAAAGAAAAGAAAAAAGAAAAGAAAGAAAGAAAAUUACAAGAAGAAAAGAAAAAAAGGAAGUUGUGAGAAUUUUGAGCACACUUGAGGGUGCUGGGUUUUCUGUGUGAAUGAUUGCCAAGUCUAUCCCAAUGAGAGCUAUUAGCAGUCAGAGUGCUUUAACUGCUCCUGCUGUACCUCUGAACUGUGCAUUCCUUCUGCUCCCUGGACUCUUGUUUUGUAAUUUUACUGAAUGAUGCGUCUCCGCUUAGCCCGAU